Small nuclear RNA from Meriones unguiculatus (Mongolian gerbil), 112 nucleotides. Lineage: Eukaryota; Metazoa; Chordata; Mammalia; Rodentia; Muridae. The record is from RefSeq and is a predicted model, not a curated record.
GUGCUCGCUUCGGCAGCACAUAUACUAAAAUUGGAACGAUACAGAGAAGAUUAGCAUGGCCCCUGCGCAAUCGAAGAAGAUAUCAGAAGAUGGAAAGAUCUCCCGUGCUCAU